UACGUAGGUGGCAAGCGUUAUCCGGAAUUAUUGGGCGUAAAGAGCGCGCAGGUGGUUAAUUAAGUCUGAUGUGAAAGCCCACGGCUUAACCGUGGAGGGUCAUUGGAAACUGGUGGACUUGAGUGCAGAAGAGGGAAGUGGAAUUCCAUGUGUAGCGGUGAAGUGCGUAGAGAUAUGGAGGAACACCAGUGGCGAAGGCGGCUUCCUGGUCUGCAACUAACACUGAGGCGCGAAAGCGUGGGGAGCAAACAGG
RNAcentral lists this ribosomal RNA (253 nucleotides) under uncultured bacterium. RNAcentral's name for it is "partial 16S ribosomal RNA". It matches the Rfam family "Bacterial small subunit ribosomal RNA", at positions 524 to 776 of the family's 1533-position model. The record is from RNAcentral.